Molecule: non-coding RNA, 533 nt
Organism: Vigna umbellata (rice bean)
Lineage: Eukaryota; Viridiplantae; Streptophyta; Magnoliopsida; Fabales; Fabaceae
Source: RefSeq, a predicted model, not a curated record
CUGUGAAAAAAUUGUCAAGCAAUGGAUUUGAUUUUUGUCAAAUGGAUCUAGACGAAUUAUAUUUUAAAUGGAUUAAUGUAUUUAUCGUUGGAUUCAUCAAUUUUCCCACCGCUACGUGAGGGUAAGGUAAUCAAGUGGCCCUAUUCUCUUUAGGUGAACAUAGCCAUUCAGAUGCGUUGGACUCCGCUUUGUUGAGUGGUAUACGAGUGACGAAUAACUAGGACUAGGAAAGAGCCCACAAAUAGAACAUUCUGAAGAAUCCAUUCUUGGUAUAUGAAACUGCCUUUGGCAAGGCUGUUUAGAAUCCUAGAUACCCUAAUUAUGCCAGAUGUAGUAACAGUUGUGAAAACUAACCACAGUUGCAAUUAACUGGACUAACCAAGAGGCAGCUUCAGUCUGAUAACAGAGAAAGAGAGCUACCUCGUAGAACAGUGUGAUACUUUCAUUAUUUUGGAGGGGUAGAUUUGGAAGAUCCAAAAAGGUUCCGCAUAGAGUUGACUUUUAGCCGUGGUGCUGAUUUAUCCCCCUUGGAG